UACGAAGGGGGCUAGCGUUGCUCGGAAUUACUGGGCGUAAAGGGAGCGUAGGCGGGUUGUCAAGUUGGAGGUGAAAGCCCAGGGCUCAACCUUGGAAUAGCCUUCAAAACUGACAGCCUGGAGUAUGGAAGAGGUAAGUGGAACUCCGAGUGUAGAGGUGAAAUUCGUAGAUAUUCGGAAGAACACCAGUGGCGAAGGCGACUUACUGGUCCAUGACUGACGCUGAGGCUCGAAAGCGUGGGGAGCAAACAGG
Molecule: ribosomal RNA, 253 nt
Filed under: uncultured prokaryote
Description: partial 16S ribosomal RNA
Rfam family: Bacterial small subunit ribosomal RNA
Source: RNAcentral